Long non-coding RNA from Urocitellus parryii (Arctic ground squirrel), 3860 nucleotides. RefSeq lists it as uncharacterized. Lineage: Eukaryota; Metazoa; Chordata; Mammalia; Rodentia; Sciuridae. The record is from RefSeq and is a predicted model, not a curated record.
GCGCGCCCGGAGGACGAGCGGCUGCCGUUAGCGUUCGCCACUGGCCAUUGCGCGCUGGCGGCCAGCCCUCGGACGGUGAGGCCCUUCUGGCCUCCUGCGCUGCCUCGGCCUGUAACCCGGAAUGGUUGCGCGGGAGGUCGGGUCAGGGGCGGAGGCCGCUGGGUAAGGGCAGGCGUCGGCAUCGCUCAGCUCCGGCCCGCCCAGGCUCACCAGCUGAGAAGCCCCGAAUGGGGCUCCUGGUCACCCGAGGGGCUCCCCCGAGGCGGAAGUCUCUGGAAAACAAAGGAAUUCAAGAGGAGCUUCUCUAAAACUUGACCCUGCCAUGGCACAACUCUCCAGUUUUCUUCACUGUCUCCAGAACAGGAGUUUUUCUGGGACAGAUGGCACAAGAGCACCAGAAUCCUCCGCCAGGGCAGACAUUGUUCAGAUGUGGAUCUUGGGAGCCUCACCCCCUUGGAGCUCACGGACUGAGAACAAGGAGUUCCCCUCCCAUCAGGGACUUUCUGAAAGAUGAUCCCCAUGAGGGACCUCACGCAGACCCUGUGGGCACUAGGAAAUGCCUCAGAAUGUUCCAGAACCUUCAGCUGGCAUUGGGGACUCUCCCAGAGGUGAAGCCAAGCAGUUCUCCUCCCCAAGACAAGACCUUCCAGCAGAAGAGAGAAGGCAGAUGCUGUGACAGGGACAAGAGGUAGCCUGCAGCCAGACUUAAAACUCUUUGAAGAAGAGCCACAUUGUGUCCCUUGGAUCCUCCCCAGCAACUUCAAGCAUUGACACCUCAGAAUCGUGGCGGGGCUUGGAAGCUGCAUGGGGCUAUGGUGCCGCCCUCUGAGCAGAGGGUCCAGGACGUGCCUUUGGCUGAAGACGCGGCUUCCUCCUUGGGGAUGGCUGAAAUUCUCUUCUGGUCACACGGGGCAAAAGGUGACCUUGUAUUUACUGCCGUCCUUUCCAGCCCACACCACAAGGCAGGCUAGCCAAGGUAACCCCAGAGACCAUCAGGUGGCUGGCCAUCUGUCUCCAUUGUCUCAGCUGUGCCCGAGAGAUGUAACUGUUUGCCAUAUGUUGUGCUGGACCUGGGAGGGACCUGGGAAAGGACAGGCAGGGAACAGCCAGAAUUCAUUCGGUGGGAAAGCCACCCAUCCCAGUGCCCUGGUUAAGUAUGAAUGGCUCAGGACCUUCCUCCACGUGAACUUGGAGCUCCUUGUGGGCAGAGCUGUGUCUUGGGCCUGUCCCUGCUUCACGGUGCCUGGUUCAGCAAAUAGGUCUCUGUUUGCAGAGUGUCUGCCUUGGAGUAAUCACUCUUUAGCUCCUGACACCUGACAGCCAGGGCUCAUGGAGUAACAAGGAGAGCAGAGGUAGAAUGACUGUGCUCUCAUCCCACCUGGGUCCUCUCCACCUCCUGUGAGUACAUCAUCCCGUUGGUAUGUGGCUAAAUUCUAGGUCCCAUGCACAAAGUACAGGAAAGUCCCUUUAUCUUUUAUUAAUUGCAAAUUUUCUCUCCCCCUUGAAAAAUGGGACAAACUGCUUAAGUCUGUGUUUUUGUGUAGCCUAGGAGUUCUCCACUAACUUUCUUUAAAGCAAGUUAAAACUGUAGGGACAGUAAAAAAAUCAUCCUUAGUGGUGGCAACUGCAUUUUCUAGAAACACAUUUUCUACCCAGGUGACCUUUGGCUUGGUGAGCCUAUCCUGGGCCAUGGAGCUUUAAGGAGAGAAGAGGAGAGCGUGCCUAGCUAGCUGCCCCUCCUGGGCCCACCAGGGGCCACCUGCUCACCCACUGGCCUCUGGGCCAGAGGGGACAACCAGGCACCAGCUCUACAUUCUCUAGCCUGAAAGUUUAUAGAUGGUGUGUCAUUUAUAGUGAGUCUCCAGAAUAUUCUCUCAAAUUUCUCUUGUAAUAACUGUUCCAGGCAGUUUAUGAAAUUAUGAAGACAAGAGAUUGAAGUGGAUAAUCAGAGGAGCAAAGGCUGGGGGGGAAGGGGGGAUCCUAAACCAGGGCCCCCUGAAGGAGGCAAAGGCCGCUCACAGAGGGCGCAAGGCUUCUGGGAAGUUGCUAGAGAAGUUGAGUCUAGAUGGAGAGCAGUGAAGAGGCCCCACCCAUCCCCAUCGCGAGGACCGUAGCUGCCAAGCCAGCCUAGUGAUGUCUCCUCGCAGGCCUGCUCUGCCGAGAAUGCCGUGAGCAGAAUCCCGUUUAAUCUUCUCAACAACACUUUGUAACCCUGAGAAAAGCCACUGGCCCCAUUUCCCAUCUCUGAAUGAUCUUGUGCAGAUGUGACCCAUAGAAGUUCUUCAAAUCUUUGGAGCCCAGCCACAGAUGUGUUGCAGUCUUAGAAGUUGUGACCACCAGUUUCUGUCACUGAGCCUCAGCCCUCUUGGUGCAGUACUGUGCUCCUGCACAAGGCAUGCAGGCCUGUGCCCCAGGCUGAACAGCCCAAAAAGAAAAUCCUGUAACCAGAGGAGUGAAAUUCCUGGUUGGAGUGAAUGAAGCAAAAAGUUUAACCCCCUGCCUUGUGAUAGGAUGAACACAUCAGAGCAUUCCGUGAGCCCUGCAUGUCCCUGGGAGUCACCAAAGAGCCUCUGAAACUCUUGAGACCAAAGGCACUUGUUCCCCCGACUGCUGCUCAUCAAGACUUUUCUCCAGCAUGAAGUAGCCUGAUGACCGACCUAAAGUGCGCUCAUCUCUCAAAGACGGCGUCUCUCUCCUGUGAAUCCCCCAAUGAUGAGAAAGAGCUAAGCAGGCCCAUGUGAUCCUACCCAUUAGCCUCUCUCCAGGGUGACCUAAUGUCCCCGCAGCCACUCUACCCCUAGACGGUCUGCCAUAUUCAUGACACCUGACCAGCAUAAGGCCCAUUUGAGUCCAUUGGUAUUGUCCAAGGACAGGACUCUGAUGAAGCCACCUCUUCCUCCAUUAUGCUUCCAGGACCCCUCUCUGCUGCAAACUCCCAGAUGUCUGGCUGGUGCCAAGCACUAUUUAAAGACAUGUGUUUGCAUUCAUCACAUGCAUAUGGUUUUUCUCCAGUGUGAAUUCUCUGACGUUGAAUGAGCUUUGCUUUCUGAAAGCCCUCCCACAUUUUAUCGCAUCUGUAGUUUCUGUUGCAUGUGASGUAGCCAGUGCCGUGGGGGGGGGUGCUGACAGAUGCCUCCCCCCGCCCACUCUCUACAAGAUGAGUGUUAUUUCAAAAGGACCGGAGCCCCAAGGAAAUUGCCUGUAUUCACAACAGUCAAAGCUGUUCUCUCCGAUAUGAAACUGUAACACUGAAUAAAUCCGGAAUCCUUACCCAAGACUUGGCCACACGUGUCUUACUUGGACCUUAUCUCACUUCUAAAGAGUUGAAUGCAGAUUUUUCCAUGUUUACCACACUUAAGGGAUGGGGUCCCUGAGACAGGGCUCUGAGGUGUGUCCAUCUUCAUGGCCUGGUGUGUCUAUCUUCAUGGCCUGGCCAGCGUCAGCGUCAGCGCGUCCUCUUUGCUCCCUCUGCUGUGGAAGACCCUGUUUGGAUGUCAGCUUGUUGUUCCUGGUCCCUUCUCACAAUAUAAAAUUGUGGAAAAUAUAAGUAUGGACCAUUCUCAAAGGACAAGACAAUUACUUGGACUGAGGGUGAAAGAUUUUGGAAGAAGAAUUAAAGACUGCCUUUGAGCAAAUAUACAAAAUGAUGGCUUCUUCAGAUUGCUGGUUAUUUAGUUCUCAUUCCUUUCAUGAACUCAGUUUUGGUUACAGUGAAAAUGUGCCUAUUAAAAAUACCUUUUCUAGUGACAUGGGAGGGGCAUGGGGGAGGUACAAGGAGGCUGUGGAGUGCUCUGUCCAUUGUUCUGGAUUACUGACCAGGUGGACAUGCUCACCUUGGGAAAAUCCAUCAAGUUUUUUUU